CCUGAGACUUCUAGACGCUCCACACUCCCCAGCCCUUGGGAAAUACACAUUCCUCACGGAAAAAGGAGAAAAUACAGACAAGAAUAGAGAGAAAGAAUUUUUUAAAUCUACAAUCCAAAGAUACCACUGUCAACAUACUUUCUUGCUGCGAGAACCAGAAGCCGAUCCUGGCUGAUCAAGUAGAAGAGAAGUUUAUUUCAAAGAUAUUGGAAGGGCUAGGAGAUAAGUUCAAGAAAAGCUUAGGAAUGAUGCCCAAAAGCCUGGUCUCGGGAGAACCUGCCACACUGCAGCCCUGCCGAGCACACGUGGAUGUACCCUCGCUGUCACCAGCCCAGCAGUACCGCUUCUGCACCAGAGCCACACGCCCGCCACCGCACUGGUCGCCAAGCAGAUCUGAGCGGGCCCUGCUUCCUCACACUGCUCCUCUGGGUG
RNAcentral lists this long non-coding RNA (432 nucleotides) under Equus caballus (horse). Its description in RNAcentral is "lncRNA (ENSECAG00000053765.1)". The record is from RNAcentral. Lineage: Eukaryota; Metazoa; Chordata; Mammalia; Perissodactyla; Equidae.